ACUCCUGCGGGAGGCAGCAGUGGGGAAUUUUGGACAAUGGGCGAAAGCCUGAUCCAGCAAUGCCGCGUGAGUGAAGAAGGCCUUCGGGUUGUAAAGCUCUUUUGUCAGGGAAGAAACGGUGAGAGCUAAUAUCUUUUGCUAAUGACGGUACCUGAAGAAUAAGCACCGGCUAACUACGUGCCAGCAGCCGCGGUAAUACGUAGGGUGCAAGCGUUAAUCGGAAUUACUGGGCGUAAAGCGUGCGCAGGCGGUUUUGUAAGUCUGAUGUGAAAUCCCCGGGCUCAACCUGGGAAUUGCAUUGGAGACUGCAAGGCUAGAAUCUGGCAGAGGGGGGUAGAAUUCCACGUGUAGCAGUGAAAUGCGUAGAUAUGUGGAGGAACACCGAUGGCGAAGGCAGCCCCCUGGGUCAAGAUUGACGCUCAUGCACGAAAGCGUGGGGAGCAAACAGGAUUAGAAACCCCGGUAGUCCCAUGA
RNAcentral lists this ribosomal RNA (474 nucleotides) under uncultured organism. Its description in RNAcentral is "partial 16S ribosomal RNA". It matches the Rfam family "Bacterial small subunit ribosomal RNA", at positions 335 to 800 of the family's 1533-position model. The record is from RNAcentral.